Molecule: long non-coding RNA, 493 nt
Organism: Callorhinus ursinus (northern fur seal)
Lineage: Eukaryota; Metazoa; Chordata; Mammalia; Carnivora; Otariidae
Source: RefSeq, a predicted model, not a curated record
AUGAAAGCACAGAAAGAUUAUCAGAACACAUAAACUAGUCCAAGGAGGAAUUAAGGAAGAAGAAGAAAAGGCUGAAGGAGAAGCCUCAGGACAAGGCCAUACAUGUAUAGCACAGCAUAUUAAUGUUGGGGCUCUGGAGAAUCCUCCCACCAGCAGACCAUCCUAAACUUCAGGAGUCCUCACACUAUGCGAUAUUUCUCCACCAGGGAAAUCUACACUUGAAAUUGUGCUUUGAAGAAAUGAGGGCAUCAGGGAGAAAAUGUGUGAAGGUAGGAGAGCAGUGAUCAAGCAGCACAGUUUGGAGGUGGAAAUGAAGAGAAAGAGGGAACAGCAAUCACUCUACCUCGGGCUACAGUCGGUAACUAGCAGAGUAAUAGAAGACAGAGGGGAAAGGUGCUACAGAUUUAUCAUGAAUACAAUCGCUCAGCGAAAUCCAGAGGGACGCCAAGCAUCUUUUUUCUGUCUCUUUAAACAUUUUAUAUAAUUAAAGAAA